Long non-coding RNA from Leopardus geoffroyi (Geoffroy's cat), 113 nucleotides. RefSeq lists it as uncharacterized. The record is from RefSeq and is a predicted model, not a curated record. The transcript has 2 exons. NCBI's taxonomy places the organism in Eukaryota, Metazoa, Chordata, Mammalia, Carnivora, Felidae.
GAGGUGGGUGGAGGAUGGGCUAAAUGAGUGAUGGGUAUGAAGGAGGGCAUUUGCUAUGAUGAGCACUGGAUGUUGUAUGUAAGUGAUGAAUCACUAAAUCUUACACCUGAAAC